Molecule: ribosomal RNA, 465 nt
Filed under: Vreelandella stevensii
Lineage: Bacteria; Pseudomonadati; Pseudomonadota; Gammaproteobacteria; Oceanospirillales; Halomonadaceae
Description: partial 16S ribosomal RNA
Rfam family: Bacterial small subunit ribosomal RNA
Source: RNAcentral
CCUACGGGCGGCUGCAGUGGGGAAUAUUGGACAAUGGGCGAAAGCCUGAUCCAGCCAUGCCGCGUGUGUGAAGAAGGCCUUCGGGUUGUAAAGCACUUUCAGUGGGGAAGAAAGCCUUGGGGCUAAUACCCUCGAGGAAGGACAUCACCCACAGAAGAAGCACCGGCUAACUCCGUGCCAGCAGCCGCGGUAAUACGGAGGGUGCGAGCGUUAAUCGGAAUUACUGGGCGUAAAGCGCGCGUAGGCGGUCUGAUAAGCCGGUUGUGAAAGCCCCGGGCUCAACCUGGGAACGGCAUCCGGAACUGUCAGGCUAGAGUGCAGGAGAGGAAGGUAGAAUUCCCAGUGUAGCGGUGAAAUGCGUAGAGAUCGGGAGGAAUACCAGUGGCGAAGGCAGCCUUCUGGACUGACACUGACGCUGAGGUGCGAAAGCGUGGGUAGCAAACAGGAUUAGAUACCCCAGUAGUC